GACGAACGCUGGCGGCGUGCCUAAUACAUGCAAGUAGGACGCAGUUGCGAACGGGUGAGUAAUGCGUAGGUAACUACCUAUUAGAGGGGGAUAACUAUUGGAAACGAUAGCUAAUACCGCAUACUAGUAGAUGGACCUGCGGUGUAUUAGCUAGUAGGUAGGGUAAUGGGCGACCUAGGCAACGAUACAGAGCCGACCUGGGAGGGGGAUCGGCCACACUGGGACUUGUACACGGCCCAGAAUCCGUCGGGAGGCAGCAGUAGGGAAUCUUCGGCAAUGGGGGGAACCCUGACCGAGCAACGCCGCGUGAGUGAAGAAGGUGUUCGGAUAGUAAAGCUCUGUUGUUAAGGAAGCGGUACUUAACCAGAAAGGGACGGCUAACUACGUGCCAGCAGCCGCGGUAAUAC
RNAcentral lists this ribosomal RNA (407 nucleotides) under uncultured bacterium. Its description in RNAcentral is "partial 16S ribosomal RNA". It matches the Rfam family "Bacterial small subunit ribosomal RNA", at positions 28 to 526 of the family's 1533-position model. The record is from RNAcentral.